AGCUUGCUACUUUUGCCGGCGAGCGGAUGACGGGUGAGUAAUGCCUGGGGAUCUGCCCAGUCGAGGGGGAUAACUACUGGAAACGGUAGCUAAUACCGCAUACGCCCUACGGGGGAAAGCAGGGGACCUUCGGGCCUUGCGCGAUUGGAUGAACCCAGGUGGGAUUAGCUAGUUGGUGAGGUAAUGGCUCACCAAGGCGACGAUCCCUAGCUGGUCUGAGAGGAUGAUCAGCCACACUGGAACUGAGACACGGUCCAGACUCCUACGGGAGGCAGCAGUGGGGAAUAUUGCACAAUGGGGGAAACCCUGAUGCAGCCAUGCCGCG
This 325-nucleotide ribosomal RNA is filed under the name Aeromonas veronii. Its description in RNAcentral is "bacterial SSU rRNA". It matches the Rfam family "Bacterial small subunit ribosomal RNA", at positions 77 to 401 of the family's 1533-position model. Lineage: Bacteria; Pseudomonadati; Pseudomonadota; Gammaproteobacteria; Aeromonadales; Aeromonadaceae. The record is from RNAcentral.